Molecule: ribosomal RNA, 497 nt
Filed under: uncultured bacterium
Lineage: Bacteria
Description: partial 16S ribosomal RNA
Rfam family: Bacterial small subunit ribosomal RNA
Source: RNAcentral
GAUGAACGCUGGCGGCGUGCCUAAUACAUGCAAGUCGAGCGAACAGACGAGGAGCUUGCUCCUCUGACGUUAGCGGCGGACGGGUGAGUAACACGUGGAUAACCUACCUAUAAGACUGGGAUAACUUCGGGAAACCGGAGCUAAUACCGGAUAAUAUAUUGAACCGCAUGGUUCAAUAGUGAAAGACGGUUUUGCUGUCACUUAUAGAUGGAUCCGCGCCGCAUUAGCUAGUUGUUAAGGUAACGGCUUACCAAGGCAACGAUGCGUAGCCGACCUGAGAGGGUGAUCGGCGACACUGGAACUGAGACACGGUCCAGACUCCUACGGGAGGCAGCCGUAGGGAAUCUUCCGCAAUGGGCGAAAGCAUGACGGAGCAACGCCGCGUGAGUGAUGAAGGUAUUCGGAUCGUAAAACUCUGUUAUUAGGGAAGAACAAAUGUGUAAGUAACUAUGCACGUCUUGACGGUACCUAAUCAGAAAGCCACGGCUAACUACGUG